GACGAACGCUGGCGGCGUGCCUAAUACAUGCAAGUAGAACGCUGAAGAGAGGAGCUUGCUCUUCUUGGAUGAGUUGCGAACGGGUGAGUAACGCGUAGGUAACCUGCCUGGUAGCGGGGGAUAACUAUUGGAAACGAUAGCUAAUACCGCAUAAAAUUGAUUAUUGCAUGAUAAUUAAUUGAAAGAUGCAAUUGCAUCACUACCAGAUGGACCUGCGUUGUAUUAGCUAGUUGGUGAGGUAACGGCUCACCAAGGCGACGAUACAUAGCCGACCUGAGAGGGUGAUCGGCCACACUGGGACUGAGACACGGCCCAGACUCCUACGGGAGGCAGCAGUAGGGAAUCUUCGGCAAUGGGGGGAACCCUGACCGAGCAACGCCGCGUGAGUGAAGAAGGUUUUCGGAUCGUAAAGCUCUGUUGUAAGAGAAGAACGGGUGUGAGAGUGGAA
Molecule: ribosomal RNA, 448 nt
Filed under: Streptococcus sanguinis
Lineage: Bacteria; Bacillati; Bacillota; Bacilli; Lactobacillales; Streptococcaceae
Description: bacterial SSU rRNA
Rfam family: Bacterial small subunit ribosomal RNA
Source: RNAcentral